Punica granatum (pomegranate) is the source of this 2719-nucleotide non-coding RNA. The record is from RefSeq and is a predicted model, not a curated record. Lineage: Eukaryota; Viridiplantae; Streptophyta; Magnoliopsida; Myrtales; Lythraceae.
AGAUCGUGAUGUUUCGGGCAUGUUUUUUCGUCCUGGUUGCCGCUUCCCGCUCGAAACCCAAGUCUCUUACUUGAUUGCACCGUCUCCUUCAAGCGCUAACUUCUCCCGCUCUGCCCCUCCCUCCCUCUCUGUCGCAUUCAUUCGCAGCAGCACCCCCACCACCACCCGCCUUUCAUCUCCCUCCCGUUUAUUCCUUCCGCCCAUCUGCUCGCACCGCCUCCCCUGCAAACUUUCUGUCCAUCUGGUUGCUUGCAUUCUAUCCUGCACCUUGGUGAACCUGCAGCGCUGCUUAAGUUGAAGCUUGCCCUUCUCUCUCUCCGGCUUUCCCUCUAUUACCAUUACUCUUCAUUCUGUCCUCCCCCCCCGGACGAGUUCCACUCUGUUACAGUUGAUGGGAUGAAUAUGAGGGUGAUCUUUUCCAAAUCUCAAUUCUGCCUCUACUUUCAAGCUCUUUGGACAACCGCCCGCCUGCUUCGGCUCCAUUGUUCCCUUUCGGCUUUCGGCUUAUGCAUGUACGUGCUCCGCCCUGCCCCGGCUACUUACCGCUUCCCCCCUGCGAGCGCCCUCACGGCCGUCCUCGCCAUGCCGUGAGACCUGCCAGUCCUCGCAUCUGCUGCUUCAAGAUGGUCGGUCACUUUCCUAUCAUCUGUUCGUGCCUUUCCGCAAAAUCCUCCCUGGAGUACUUACACUUGCUGCUCCUAAAUCGCCCCAGUUGCACGUACAUCCGCAAUUUGAACACCUCGCUCCCUUCCUCUGCUUCAAGUUGUGUUCUACUGCUGUUCACUCUUCUCCAUUUCUGGGCACUCUGCCAUCACCAAGGUGCUCGAUAAAACGUCUGUUAGUACAAUCAUUGCGGUCUCCACGGAGUGAUGCUAUCGAUCUUCUCGCCAAACAGGUUCGAUAUCACUUUCAAUUGAGUUUGCUUAACCCACAUUUUGCUGUUUUAUCCCUUGCUUAGCACUAGCUAUCUCUUAGGCUCUCACCUUGUUGUUGCUGGUUGUAAUCUUCCUCGGUAUUUUUGUGGAUUAGUUGCUGCUUUAAUUUUACUGUCUUGUUGUCUCUUUUUCCUUUGUCUUGGUGUUUUCUCAUGCCCUUCCUUUGUUCAGUACGGAUAUAGCUCUUGUGUCCAGCUUUGCUUAACGAAGCAAGAUCAGUACAUGCCCAAAAACUUGCACUUAGAAGUAUCGUUAUUCCUUUUGUAUUUUUUUUAAUUUUUUUUGGCUCUAUAGUGAUACAGUAAACGGGGUUGCCAUGAAUCUGCUCCAUUCCACUUUGUGAGCAGGAUUGCUCAAAAGUGGACGCUAGCCGUGCUUGCAUACUUGACCUGUUCUGUCACAGAGUUAAUAUAUAUAGACAAUGAAAAAAGUUCGUAGUAACAGUUCUGAUUUGUUUAGCAUUUGCCACCCUUAUGUAUGAUGACUCUGCCUUUCACGGUGCCACCUUGCCCAAGAUUUCGUGGAUUAGCUGAUACUCUACGUCUAAUUACAUAGUCAUGUUGCCCUUUCUCCCCCACUUCUCCCUCUUAUUUGGAUAUAAUAUAUAUAUAUAUAUAUAUGUAUAUACCUGUGUAUACGUGCUUAUGCUCCAACUUUACUAUUUUGGUCAUUAGAUGGGGGCAACCAUAUAGAUUUGCUUAUUGAAUUGGAAUUAGGCAUGCCAGAAACUCGCCCUUAUAGCCAUGGUUCUUCUUUUUCUUUUUCUUUUUAAUUUUUUUUUUUAUUUUACCCCUUCUGUCAUUUUCUCAGUUUCUGAUGCCAGUUAUUUCUAAUAAGGAGAACCCAUGAAAAUGGUCCAAUGCAGUUUGAGGAAAAUGGAUGAUAUUAUGACCCAAGAUGAACUAAUCCACAAGGAAUGUAGUUUUACUAACAGUUUUGGAUUGUUUGCUCCGCCUAUUUUGAAAUGUUUACGUCCGAAACAUCACCCAAUAUCCAAUUGCUCCUUAAUGUUUGUGCAGACACUUUGCUCUUGUCACGUCUCUUGAUACUUCAAUUGCCACAGCGCAGAGGUGAAUUCCUCCAUGCCUGUCUAUUCGUGCCUCUGAUGUCUAAUUUCCCCGCUUUUAUUAUAUUCCUAUGUGAAUUUACUGUUGCAUCCAGUCUUUCUUUCACUUAGAUUUCAUGCUUACCUCUUUAAUUAUUCCUUCCCUCGAGGAAGGAAUAUCUUGCGAUAAUUGGUAUGCUAGGCUUACACCUGAACAAAAAAGGAGGAGCUUUGCUAAUAACAAAGAAUGCCGGAACAGGAACCAUCUAACUGCUAUUGGGCGAGGGUGCCUACCAUAGCAGCAGUUCAACCAUGACCAUCGUCACCCAUCCAUGGCAGCAGGCAGCUCCUGUGCCCAUCGCAUCGCUCUGCCCCAAAUACCAUUGAUGUAGUUACUGCAGAAGUGGUUGCAUGGAAUGGCAUACCUAAGCCAAGAUGGAGCCAUUUGAUCAAUAUUAAGCCUUUAUUACUAUCAACUGGACUGCAUCCGUAUGUGUAUUCUCCGCAGGGAUGAGCAUAUGAAGCUAAAUUUUCAUGUCUUGAACGGAAAGGGCAAGGACAUUAUCCAAACCUUGCUGUGAGAAGGAUCGGAGUCCAUGAUGUCUUUGAAGACCUUUGAUGUCGUGUUCUUGUAAUUGUACCAAUACUUUGUAAUAAAUAGUAUAUAUGUUCAUCAUUACGUCACAUGUAUUGCGGAGAUUUGCUUGCUAAAUCAAUAAUAUAAUCUAUUGAAAAUAAA